UCUCAUGUUCCUCCUCUCUUCUUCCUCAUGUCUAGGGUUCUUUUAGGCCCUAUCUGAUCUGCAUCAAGAUUUUUCUGCCAUCCUUGUUGCUACUUCUACGAUCUACGAUUAGUAAGGAGAGAUUUGAUCCUGACAACAUGAAGACCUCUAUGUGGCAUGAUAGGGAUCGGCCCAGAGUGGAUCCCUUAUCGGAGAGUGAGGUUGAUAAGUGCCUCCUUCAUUCGUGGCUCUCUGGCUUGCUCAGCCAUGUUUGCCUACCUUGAUCUGGGCUUUGUGCAGGUUGCUGCAAGAGCAGUCCUACACCAGAUUCAGCUGCUGCAUAGUGUUGACCACUGCAGUCAAUGCCUGCAACUAGGUAAGCAGAAUAUUAAACUAGUCUUGAUUUACCCCUACGGUCGGUGGGGGGGCUGUGGAGGUGCCUCCAACUACUGAGCCAAAAUAUGGUUCUUGAUCAAAUUUUUGGCUAGCCAACACAUUGUAGCAUUUGAACACCUUGAGGAUGUUCUUCGCUACGACAUUAUUAUAGAUCGCAUACUUCUUCCCAAAAAAUAAGUACAUGAUCCUUCUUCUAACGCCAAUCUAUUACUGUAGAUUUUCAGCUCGGACUGGAGUUGCUAAAGUGUGGUCUCUUCCGUUAGGGGCAACGAUGGCUAGAUCUGCAAAAGAAGUUUCUAAUCGAAAUUGGUUCCGAUGAAAAUCCUUCGAUGUUCAAGUUAGAAAUCUGAAAUAGAUGGUUGGGAGAGCGUGCAAGAGUUGCAUACCUUCGGGGGUCCCCUGAUUGUCUGUAUUUAUAUAUCAACAUUAGAGCCAUGAGGGGGGAUGAGUUCUAUGAGGCCAUCCCGG
Molecule: long non-coding RNA, 843 nt
Filed under: Elaeis guineensis (African oil palm)
Lineage: Eukaryota; Viridiplantae; Streptophyta; Magnoliopsida; Arecales; Arecaceae
Description: long non-coding RNA (EGUI_LNC029463)
Source: RNAcentral